RNAcentral lists this ribosomal RNA (1040 nucleotides) under Ammonia beccarii. Its description in RNAcentral is "SSU rRNA". It matches the Rfam family "Eukaryotic small subunit ribosomal RNA", at positions 1160 to 1804 of the family's 1831-position model. Lineage: Eukaryota; Foraminifera; Rotaliida; Rotaliidae. The record is from RNAcentral.
AAGGGCACCACAAGAACGCGUGGAGCAUGUGGCUUAAUUUGACUCAACGCGGGAAAUCUUACCGGGUCCGGACACACUGAGGAUUGACAGAUAUACGCUACGUUGCACCUUCGGGUGCACGUGGCUCAAAGAUGCUAGUUCUUUCAUGAUUAUGUGAUAGGUGGUGCAUGGCCGUUCUUAGUUCGUGGAGUGAUCUGUCUGCUUAAUUGCGUAUCAAUAAUAGAGACCUAGUAUACGCGUAUUACUCGUGUGGUAGUGACCCCCUUCUCACGGAGGCGCGUGUCGCACAUACGGUAUACGCACUGGUCUCAGAUAGCAACGAACGUGACCGUAUUCUAUUGUUGCAGUGAAUUAUACGCGUGCUUUAUGCAUGCAUUCCCACUGCUUAGUGUGCGCUGCCAGUACUUGUUGCUGCUGCGUCACACAUUAAACUAUAGAGACCGCUGUUUCUUCUUUAAACCAGAGGAAGGAUACGGCAAUAACAGGUCUGUGAUGCCCUCAGAUGUUCCGGCUGCACACGUGCUACAAUGAUCAUUGCACUGUGCAUCUAACCCAAUGUGCGCGGACGCACGAUACGUAAAAUGGCUUCGGGCAUUUUUAUGAUUCGCUUGUGCGACUGCGCCGAACCUACUUCGAAAGUAAAAUUUUUAAGUGGGUAAUCCAUUAGAAGUAAUGACUCGCAUAGACCAUGGCACACUAUAUGUACGCGCAGGUCUACCCGACUCGCCUUUGUGUGAGUGCAGUGCGUAGCUUGUUGUUUCGUACGUGCCACUCCGUAUUAAUUCGUACGUGGGGAUAGAUCAUUGUUUAAUUGUUGGUCUCGGUCUUAACUAGGAAUGCCUUGUACGGGUCUUUGGUUCAACAUACCACCCGGAAUACGUCCCUGCCCUUUGUACACACCGCCCGUCGCUCUUACCGAUGGAUUAUACUAUGAAUCUAUAGGACUGCCAAAGCUUUGCGGCGUGUUCGCACACCGCGCUUAGUGGAAAUAUAUAUGAAUAGUGUGAUCUAAAGGAAAGAGAAGUCGUAACAAGGCAUCA